Molecule: long non-coding RNA, 1184 nt
Organism: Panicum virgatum (switchgrass)
Lineage: Eukaryota; Viridiplantae; Streptophyta; Magnoliopsida; Poales; Poaceae
Exons: 2
Source: RefSeq, a predicted model, not a curated record
CCUGCACGCAAACAUAAAUAAGACGUUCUUCAGUCCCCUCCUGGAAACUAAAAUAUAAAGAAGGUGAGCUCAAAAAAUAAAGUUGACCAGUCAACCAUCCACAAAAGUACCCAACUAUAGCAGAAUGCUGGAUGCCAGUUUGCACGAGUUAGCGGAACAAGGGCUAAAUUAGGUUAGGUUACAGGUUAUUGAUUAAUUUGGGGUGUGGGAUGUUUUUUUGCCAAACCCUCUAACUUGUGGCAUGGCUUUUGAAAAUUUUCCGAUUAAAAGGCACAAACUGCAGAAGAUUGAGGAUGUGUGGGCACUAUGCCAAACAGUCGGUCACCUAUCGUUUAGCAAUUUAUUUGAACUAAACAGCCAUUUAAAUGGAUUAAACGGCUGAUUAAACGGAUACAGCUAGCCACUGUGUAGCAUUUACAUGGCGUGUAAACAGGCUAAAUGGUCGUGUAGGCGAACAGUGACUACAGGACAAAUGAAAAAAAAAUUCUUUUCUGAGAGAUCAUAGAAUCAUUGUCAAUAAGAAACAAAUCUUCUCAAAUGCAGGCCGAAGAUAAACUUCAAGCAAGCAUGAUGCCAUGUGGCACAUGCUACCAAUGGUACGUCACCAUGAUUGUAUUGAAAUUCACCAUGUACAAUAUCAUGUCAAAGAGGAGAAAGAUGAGUUAUAUGUACCUCUAGACAGUAGAAAAUCAUUCCCGUAAAAAUUGAUGCCAAGGAAUAUCAUCCGAGAAUGGUUACCAGAAGGCGAAGAACCUUUGGCUGAAAGGAGUGUUGUUAAAGAAUGCUGUACCCACUUGAGAGGUGCACUGGGACCAGGAUUUUGAGGCCCUGAGAAGUCAUAUGUCAUAAGAGAAAAACCAUCUAAUGAGUCAGCCAAUUGCAGGAGAUCUUCUGGUCCAAAGUCCUGAUUACUGAGCUCUUUCAUUCUUGGAGCUGGGAUAACAUAAAUUAGUUCCAAAUGGCGGUUACUUGAUUUAGAGCUGAUUGAAUGCAAAGCCUCCCCCAGCUGCUUAACAAAUUGAAGUGCCUGUAGAAAUAGCUCAAUGUGAUCAUAAGGUAUAACCAUAUAACUACCUGAAAAGGCUAGUUGUAUAAACCUCAUAUGAGGCGGCAUAUGUAACUCCUAGCCAUUCUUAAUUAAGCUGACAAUAGUGGUAAAAAAACUGGUGAUGUUUCAACUUGAA